CGACCGGCGCACGGGUGAGUAACACGUAUGCAACCUGCCCUCUUCAGGGGGACAACCUUCCGAAAGGGAGGCUAAUCCCGCGUAUAUCGGUUUCGGGCAUCCGAGAUCGAGGAAAGAUUCAUCGGAAGAGGAUGGGCAUGCGGCGCAUUAGCUAGUUGGCGGGGUAACGGCCCACCAAGGCGACGAUGCGUAGGGGUUCUGAGAGGAAGGUCCCCCACACUGGUACUGAGACACGGACCAGACUCCUACGGGAGGCAGCAG
This 261-nucleotide ribosomal RNA is filed under the name uncultured bacterium. RNAcentral's name for it is "partial 16S ribosomal RNA". It matches the Rfam family "Bacterial small subunit ribosomal RNA", at positions 92 to 354 of the family's 1533-position model. The record is from RNAcentral.